This 2122-nucleotide small RNA is filed under the name Pan troglodytes (chimpanzee). RNAcentral's name for it is "retained intron". Lineage: Eukaryota; Metazoa; Chordata; Mammalia; Primates; Hominidae. The record is from RNAcentral.
AGAGCCGCCCAAGGGCUGGCGAUGGCGUACUUGGCUUGGAGACUGGCGCAGCGUUCGUGUCCGAGGUCACUAGUUUCCCGGUAGUUCAGCUGCACAUGAAUAGAACAGCAAUGAGAGCCAGUCAGAAGGACUUUGAAAAUUCAAUGAAUCAAGUGAAACUCUUGAAAAAGGAUCCAGGAAACGAAGUGAAGCUGAAACUCUAUGCGCUAUAUAAGCAGGCCACUGAAGGACCUUGUAACAUGCCCAAACCAGGUGUAUUUGACUUGAUCAACAAGGCCAAAUGGGACGCAUGGAAUGCCCUUGGCAGCCUGCCCAAGGAAGCUGCCAGGCAGAACUAUGUGGAUUUGGUGUCCAGUUUGAGUCCUUCACUGGAAUCCUCUAGUCAGGUGGAGCCUGGAACAGACAGGAAAUCAACUGGGUUUGAAACUCUGGUGGUGACCUCCGAAGAUGGCAUCACAAAGAUCACGUUCAACCGGCCCAAAAAGAAAAAUGCCAUAAACACUGAGAUGUAUCAUGAAAUUAUGCGUGCACUUAAAGCUGCCAGCAAGGAUGACUCAAUCAUCACUGUUUUAACAGGAAAUGGUGACUAUUACAGUAGUGGGAAUGAUCUGACUAACUUCACUGAUAUUCCCCCUGGUGGAGUAGAGGAGAAAGCUGAAAAUAGUGCCGUUUUACUGAGGUAAGAGUAACUGACCUUUGUCUGAUCCCAGAGGGCCCGUUCUUAGUCAUCAAAGUGGUAUUUAGUUGAUCAAAAGUGCAAUAUCUGCUGCUCUGUGUCAGUGCAGUUAAUUGUGACUUUGGAUAAGCAUAUUUCUCUAAACUGCCUCCAUCCAUAGGUGGGCAUUCAUUCUUUCUCUUUGACCUCUGUUACCUGUUCAUCCUGCCGGUCUCAUGAGAUUUGACUGGAAAACAUAAAAGUGAGCUAUAGUUGUAAACAAAAUUAUCUUGCAUUGAGGCAGAGGAAUUUAGCAAAUUCUCAUCCAGCCAGAGGAAUGGGAGACUUCCAUGAACGCUGAAAGUAGGAGACUCGGAGGAGUCUUGUAAACACAGGAGGAGGUCAUGAAGGCUUUCCUCUUUAUUCCUGCCAAAUCUGUAAUUCCCACUUGCUGUGAUAUUGCAGCAUGUGCUCACUCACCCAACCUAAUCUCCAAGACUGCGGCUGGUUUACAGCCCUGAACUCACUGUCCAGAAUACAAGAUUCAAACCAGGGUUGACCCAUAGGUCUCACUGGUUGGUCUUCCAUCCACUGCCAUUCAGACGGAUGCCCUGGAUGAAUCUGGUGCGGAAGACCAGGGGAGUGGCAGGACAGGGAGGCACUGCUGGUGGUGGCUGUGGAAAUACCCAGCCUGACAGAAGGCUUUAUCUCAGAGUCAGACUGUCUUGCCCAUGCUUCAGUCAUGCUGCUUUGGCACAUUUAAUGAUUUUGUGUUUCCAUUUCUGUAGGGAAUUUGUGGGCUGUUUUAUAGAUUUUCCUAAGCCUCUGAUUGCAGUGGUCAAUGGUCCAGCUGUGGGCAUCUCCGUCACCCUCCUUGGGCUAUUCGAUGCCGUGUAUGCAUCUGACAGGGCAACAUUUCAUACACCAUUUAGUCACCUAGGCCAAAGUCCGGAAGGAUGCUCCUCUUAUACUUUUCCGAAGAUAAUGAGCCCAGCCAAGGCAACAGAGAUGCUUAUUUUUGGAAAGAAGUUAACAGCGGGAGAGGCAUGUGCUCAAGGACUUGUUACUGAAGUUUUCCCUGAUAGCACUUUUCAGAAAGAAGUCUGGACCAGGCUGAAGGCAUUUGCAAAGCUUCCCCCAAAUGCCGUGAGAAUUUCAAAAGAGGUAAUCAGGAAGAGAGAGAGAGAAAAACUACACACUGUUAAUGCUGAAGAAUGCAAUGUCCUUCAGGGAAGAUGGCUAUCAGAUGAAUGCACAAAUGCUGUGGUGAACUUCUUAUCCAGAAAAUCAAAACUGUGAUGACCACUACAGCAGAGUAAAGCAUGUCCAAGGAAGGAUGUGCUGUUACCUCUGAUUUCCAGUACUGGAACUAAAUAAGCUUCAUUGUGCCUUUUGUAGUGCUAGAAUAUCAAUUACAAUGAUGAUAUUUCACUACAGCCCUGAUGAAUAAAAAGUUUUGUAAAAGAA